GAGGGUGUAGCUCAGUGGCAGAGCACAUGCCUAGCAUGCACAAGAUCCUGGGUUCAAUCCCCAGCACCCCCA
Molecule: transfer RNA, 72 nt
Filed under: Camelus ferus (Wild Bactrian camel)
Lineage: Eukaryota; Metazoa; Chordata; Mammalia; Artiodactyla; Camelidae
Rfam family: tRNA
About the family: Transfer RNA (tRNA) molecules are approximately 80 nucleotides in length. Their secondary structure includes four short double-helical elements and three loops (D, anti-codon, and T loops). Further hydrogen bonds mediate the characteristic L-shaped molecular structure. tRNAs have two regions of fundamental functional importance: the anti-codon, which is responsible for specific mRNA codon recognition, and the 3' end, to which the tRNAs corresponding amino acid is attached (by aminoacyl-tRNA synthetases). tRNAs cope with the degeneracy of the genetic code in two manners: having more than one tRNA (with a specific anti-codon) for a particular amino acid; and 'wobble' base-pairing, i.e. permitting non-standard base-pairing at the 3rd anti-codon position.
Source: Rfam by way of RNAcentral